CAGAGACGGGCGGUCACCCACAGGCGACGGCAUUCACCUGCGCCUGUCGCCCGUUUUCCAUUCCCCCCCAUGCCCCACCUCUCACUUCUGCGGCGCUGCGCAGACAGAACGGCCUGAGGCCCCUGACCCCACCCAAGAGGCAGAGUCGGUCAGUGCCAGACCAGCGGCCUGCCUCCUGUGGCGCUUGGCUGCAUUCAGUGGGAUCCACUACCUGCUUCUAUGGCACUCGCUGCCUCUUUCGUGGAGACCUGCUGUCUGCUCUCUGUGGGACCUAUCACCUAUAUUCUAUAGGGUCUGCUGCCUGCUUUCUAGGGAGCCCACUGCUUUUCCACGGAGCUCUGCCUACUUUCGGUGGGACUCACUGCCCGACUUCUGUGUCGCCCAGUCUCUGCAUUCUAUGGAGCCUGCUGCCUACUCACUAUGGGACUCACUCUCGGCUUCCCAUGACCCCACUGCCUGUUCUUCUACGGCCUAGUCAUCCCAGUGCCACCCAGCUGGACAGACCUCCACCCAUUUCUGAACAUCUGAACAUUCACAGUGGUUGCUUUGUACGGGACCCACCACCUGCGUUCUAGGCCUGCAGCGCCACUACCUGACUGGUGAACUUCUGGUGUGGAAAACAGCGGUGUCAGGCUCCCCACACCUGGGCCUUUCUCUUAGGCUCCACUGUCUGGCUUCUCUGAGAACCUACUCCGACAAGCAGUCUCCUGGGGG
Manis javanica (Malayan pangolin) is the source of this 714-nucleotide long non-coding RNA. RefSeq lists it as uncharacterized. NCBI's taxonomy places the organism in Eukaryota, Metazoa, Chordata, Mammalia, Pholidota, Manidae. The record is from RefSeq and is a predicted model, not a curated record.